UAUUUGUGGCAAGAAGGUGAUGGGUGUCAUUAGAGUUUUGUUCCUGUUGAAGUAGCCGGAGUUCGGCUUUCCUCUUGAAGCCUCAGCAGAGGUCCCUGGGGCUGAAUGGGGAUCCCUGGAGACAAGUGGUGAGCCUCCUCCUGGCAUCUCUGCGCAACGCCCGCCCGGCCCGGGGACUGUCAUAGCAACAGCGCGCACCGGCGCAGCGGCCAGCCAAUGGCAGUGCAUCCCGGUGAGCUGGCAUAGCUGGUCUCCAUUUUGCAGAUAAAUCGACCGAGGCUCAGAGGAGGCAAGAAGAUACCCAGGCUCACGGAGUCGUCAGAAUCUGAACCCAGGUCCACCAUCUUCUCCCUCCUAUCUCUCCACUGUCCCUUUGCAGCAGUGGUGACCUCCUCCUAGGCCUGGAACCUCACUCCUGAGGACUGUCCUUGAAGCACACUUCUCUGGUCCUGUAGGGAAUCCAUUUCCGCCUGCAGUGAAGGUUCACACCACAGUCUCCUGGAGAGGUAUGCAGUAGGUGCGGCUCAGUAUGCAACCCAGGAGGCUUCUACACAGCAAACUUCGGCAGAAGCACCCCACUGUGAAGCUGUGCCAGCACGCCUGUCUCUCCCAGAAGCUUUCCAGCCCCUCAGCCUUGGGAAUCACCAUUAUUAUUAUUUGAUCUAGUCCCCAGGCAAACCCUGAUCUGCGUUCUGCCAUGCCAGAUCAUUCUCUUUUGCUAGGCAUCUAA
Long non-coding RNA from Meriones unguiculatus (Mongolian gerbil), 730 nucleotides. RefSeq lists it as uncharacterized. NCBI's taxonomy places the organism in Eukaryota, Metazoa, Chordata, Mammalia, Rodentia, Muridae. The transcript is spliced from 3 exons. The record is from RefSeq and is a predicted model, not a curated record.